GCCUAUGACCAAAUCACCCAAAAUGCACCCAAUCUCCAUCGGAUCUCUAAAGCUAAGCAGGAUGAGCCUAGGUAGUGCUUGGAUGGGUGACCACCAACAGGUGCUUUAAGCUGCUGCAGAGC
Molecule: ribosomal RNA, 122 nt
Filed under: Petromyzon marinus (sea lamprey)
Lineage: Eukaryota; Metazoa; Chordata; Hyperoartia; Petromyzontiformes; Petromyzontidae
Source: RNAcentral